RNAcentral lists this ribosomal RNA (246 nucleotides) under uncultured bacterium. RNAcentral describes it as "partial 16S ribosomal RNA". It matches the Rfam family "Bacterial small subunit ribosomal RNA", at positions 109 to 353 of the family's 1533-position model. The record is from RNAcentral.
AGUAACGCGUGGGUAACCUGCCUCAUACACAUGGAUAACAUACCGAAAGGUAUGCUAAUACAAGAUGAUAUAAGAGAUUCGCAUGGAUUUCUUAUCAAAGCUCCGGCGGUAUGAGAUGGACCCGCGUCUGAUUAGCUAGUUGGUAAGGUAAUGGCUUACCAAGGCAACGAUCAGUAGCCGACCUGAGAGGGUGAUCGGCCACAUUGGAACUGAGACACGGUCCAAACUCCUACGGGAGGCAGCAUG